UGGUGUGUAGCUCAGAGGUAGAGCAGUUGGAGUCGAUACCCAAGAAUGCGCCGGUUCGAGUCCGGUCACGCCAA
Molecule: transfer RNA, 74 nt
Filed under: Enterococcus gallinarum
Lineage: Bacteria; Bacillati; Bacillota; Bacilli; Lactobacillales; Enterococcaceae
Description: tRNA-OTHER
Rfam family: tRNA
About the family: Transfer RNA (tRNA) molecules are approximately 80 nucleotides in length. Their secondary structure includes four short double-helical elements and three loops (D, anti-codon, and T loops).
Source: RNAcentral